RNAcentral lists this ribosomal RNA (230 nucleotides) under uncultured bacterium. RNAcentral's name for it is "partial 16S ribosomal RNA". It matches the Rfam family "Bacterial small subunit ribosomal RNA", at positions 118 to 346 of the family's 1533-position model. The record is from RNAcentral.
UGGGCAACCUGCCCUCAGCUCUGGGAUAACUCCAAGAAAUUGGGGCUAAUACCGGAUAUGACUGCUGACCGCAUGGUCUGGUGGUGGAAAGAUUUAUCGGCUGGGGAUGGGCCCGCGGCCUAUCAGCUUGUUGGUGGGGUGAUGGCCUACCAAGGCGACGACGGGUAGCCGGCCUGAGAGAGCGUCCGGCCACACUGGGACUGAGACACGGCCCAGACCUCCGUACGGGA